GGCACGGCUUCCCGCGGCGGGCGCCCGGCAGGGCCUCGCUCCCCCGCCGCAGCGGCCCAGCGAGCCGGCCGCGCCUCUGCGGGGCGCCCCCUGCCGCCGGCGGCGCCGCGGCUCGGCUCGCCCCGCCCUAGCGGACAUAACGGCAAUCGGGGCGUUCGAAACUUCGCCGCCGCCCUGGCUGCUCCGCGCGCGCGGCGGCCGCGGCCCCUCCCCUCCCCCCCAGCCCCGCGCGGGGCGCUGCCGCAGCCGUUAGGGCCGCGCGUGAGGUGAGAUACAGUGGCAGAGAUGACAUUCUGGCCCUAUUGAAGUCAAUGGGAGGUGCCCCUCCUUCCAUGAGAGAGCAUUUCACUUGGUGGGAGUGGUGAUCCACGUCUUUGCCUCCUUAAAUUAAGCCAAGAAAUACCUCAUACAGCUGACAUCACCAGUUCAACAGUUUAUAGUGCUGAAUAAUUGUAAACAUGUUUGUCCUACUUAUUCCCCUAGAGUUCUUUUCCACUUAAAAUAUUUAGAUAUAUGUACUUGCUGUGAUGAUUGUAUAUUUUAGAAGUACUAUAAGAUUAUACUAAUGCUGUAGUUCAUAGAUUUGACAAUGUUUUCCCCACAAUUAAAAAACAGAAAACUUUGCUUGCAGAUAAAGAGCUCUUCACCAGUUCAAAAUGUUAUAUUUUUCCAAGCAAAAGCAUUUUUUUUUUAAAUGGAAAGUUAUCAUGUGAUAUUAAACACAUGUGUUAAGAGACUGUUUUAUGGUCUUAGAACUGCUAAAUUAACUUUAGAAACAUUUGGUUCUCAAGAGUCUAUCAUCGGUGCCUAAAGUACAGCUAGGUAAAUGAGUUUGCUGUUGCUGGAGAGCUUCCUUUUUCUAUAUAAUGUGAUAGGUUGCAGAAGCCUUUAACCUCUAACGGAUAUUUCCCUUAAGGGAUCAGAACUGAAAAUAGAGAUUUUAAAAUGGUUUCUAGGAAAAGAAAAAUUGACAAGAGAAAAUCACUGAAACUUUUGAAUAAUAGUAAAAUAUAAGGAUUGCUUGCUCUUGUGUAAGGUUAAUAUUUAUCCUUGGGAAUAAAGAAUAAAAGAAAGAGGGAGUGGGGAAAUGGUGUUUCCAGAUCUGCUGGCAAGUGCUGUUAAUAGUUUAAUAGAAUUUAGUGUAAUAUUUGAUAGAGUUUAAAAAAAUUGUUAAGACAUAAUAAGACAGAGUUAACUUCCUACUUUUGUUUUUGUUUGGUACUGGUGGUGUUUGCACAUUAGCAGUCAAAUAAAUAUCCUAGAAGUGUCAUAACUCAUUCAGAUAGUUUCCCACAGAGACAGUUCAUUAAAGAAGUUCAUUAAAUAUUACCUAAAAAAUAAUGUUUGUGCCAGUAUAGUAAUUUGAAUCAUAUAUUUUCCUAGUCCAAUAAUGGGAAACUUCCAUCUAUCUUUCAUUUCUGUAAUAUUUUACAACCGGAUAUAUUUCAGUUGGUAGAGAUUUCACCUAUAUUUAGGUGGCUAAAUUUUAAGUAGUAAAUUAGUGCAAUAGAGAAGAAACUGCCAAGUACUUGUAGCAGACGGAAUUACCUAAAAUCUGGUUUUAAACUGGAAAGGUUCCUGUGGUGACAGGGAACUAAGUGGAGAAGGUAUGCAUUGGUGAUUCCUGCAGGUGAAGUGUAGCUUCGAACGUAGAGGAAGAUUAACCCUCCCCAAGGUCUCUACCCUCUGACUUGAAAGAAAUAUCUUACCCCAGAUCUGGCAAGCCGUGUAACUGUAAGCGUUUGAGCAGCUGCGCAAGGAGAGACCUGAGGGGAUUCUUUGUUCCACCUCAGUUCUGUUCUGUCAGCACCUUUCUGCAGCUGUGGCCAAUCUCUGGUAUUUCUGAGGAAAACCAAAACAAAUAAUUCUGUUAAUCUGACUUUACCAGUUCCAGCACUUUCUACAGAUUUGUGUUUUGUGAUUGAUUAUGAGCCCUUGGUGAAGCUUUGCUAUGAAUGGGAUACUCAUAUUGUGCCUUGUUUAGUGCCUCAUAUUUUGAAGGAUCAUACUACAACUUUCCCUUGUGCAGGGCGCUUAUGGAGUCCCCCUUAUAUAUGUGAACACCUGUUUCUAUGAAAAUAUAUAGCAGUUUUGUAGCUCCAAGAAAUCCGUACUCUGUCAAAUUUGGUUGAAGUUGGCCAGCGGAUUUGGAAGUUUACUGUGUCAUACACGUACACAGACACAUGGUGCCUCUGCGUCUUUGUUUCUUUAGGAAGUGAAGCUAAAAAUGACAUCCAUAUCUUUUCCUAAAAUCAGAAGCCAAAUUAUUACAUCUGUGUGCUUGGGGAAAUCCUUCCUUUAUGACUCCUGUACUUAGUGGCUGAAAGCUUAAACACAAAACUUGAAAAAAUAAUAGCUGCCUUAAUGGAAGCUGCAAAACUAAUGAGCCUGGUCAGUAUCCAUAAAGGAACUAAUUGGGUUGAAAACCAACUCCAAGGACAAAAAGGACAACAGCUAUCCAGCCUAUCCAGUCCGGCCUAUCUGUGCAUUUGUUCCUUGGCUCAAACUUUUAUGAAUUGUUUUGCAAAUUUUGAUCUCAUUUUCCUUACAGAGUCCCACAAAAGUGAUAAUUUUGACAAGUGGACAUUGGAACUGAACAUGGUAAUGGUCUUAGGAGCGCACUGUACCGAGGCAAAAAUAUCCACUCGGUAUUCCCAUUGGACCUUGUGCCACAAGCUUGUGCUCUGGUGCUUAUUCACAUCGACGCUUCUGCUUCCCACUGAGAAACUGUUUUUCAAAGUAGUCUUCCAGCCUUCUGACGUUACCUGCAUUUCUGUUACCACUGGACUGUUCUGAAACAUCCUGUGGGGCUGUGACUGUUUAAGACAGUUCAUAAGAACAGCAUGUUAUCUUCAUUACUUUCUACACUCCUUGCUCUUAGUGCCUUCUGCAAACUGUACUGACCAAGAGUUUAUGACGUGAUGUAGAUCACUGAUAAAUACAUUAAAAAGCAAUAGAUUGAGAACUAGUCCCAGAAUGUUCACUCAGGAAAGAGUCCAAAACAGAUAUUUGCUCAUUAAACUACGUCUUAUGUUUUGCUCUAUGUCAAUAAAGUAGUUUUUAGUCUGCUUAAUGAAUGCCUUAUAACUUCACAAAAGGCGAGUUUCAGAUGUUACAUGGUACUGAGUCAGAUGCCUGGGAGAGGUCCAACUGUACUGUGCCAGUGCAGCUGACUUCUGGUUUCUACUCAGCUGUCUGCUGAGGUCAGGCCAAAUGGUUCAUAGUUUCCUAGGUGUUUUUCUGUGUCUUGAAAUGCAGAAGCACAAUUUGGAAUUUUCCAGUAUUACCCAGGGAAUUGGAGCAGUCCAGGCGAAGGGGUUAUGUUGAAAAGCUUGAGCUGAGACCAAGGGCCGUGGGUGGGAAAUACGGGCCUGGGCCUGGAACACACUGUGGAGGAAGGGGCAGAAAGGGGGCAAGCUUGAGCAGAAAGGGGGGAAGUCUGUGUUCAUUAAAUGGCACUCCAGUUCAAAGCAGGGGAUGGGAGCUAAGGUUCCUAAAUCUCACCCUUGUUUUGCAAUCAGGACAUAGCUGAGUUCGCUGGUUCCUCUGUUUCCUUUCCAGUGUUGGUCCAUGCAGAUGUAACAGCCUACUCUUCCUGUCAGUCACUUUCUUACCUUGCGUGGCAGAUGUGUUUGUGGUGGAUAUAAGGAUCUCAGCUGCAGUGGUGAGCCUUGUGGGUCAUCACUCUGAUACAAUUUCUGUUUUUUUUUCAUUUUUUGUUUUUAAUGUAAAAGACUUAAUGUGUAAAUCACGUAUAAGCAUGCAUAAACGGUGUUUGAAAGAGUAUUACUAAAGCUGUGAAGUGAAGCAGUGGAAAAAUUAAGUAACCUCAGAAAUGAGGCUAACUGUGCAGGAUAUUAGUUGGCCAUUUUUUGGUUUAUUCACUAUACGUGGCCUUUGAUCACGUGUUGAUAUAUGACAAUUUUACUGAGUCUCACUGAGUGAGGAGCCUACUCUAGGGAUUAAGCAAUGACAUACAGUGAAAGAGGCAAUGAUCUGCAGUCUAAUUUCUUCAUUUGCUUUAGAGAUGAUAAAACCAUUAUUUAAUGAUUAAGGCAGUUGAAUAAUUUUCUAGAGAUUUUCUAUCCCUGCCUUUGCUACAGAGCUCUAUGCGUUGCUGGGCUGAUUACUUAAAUUAUGUAAUCACUGUUUUCAUGUUUGUGAAGUAAGACUUGGGGGAACACUAGGCACUCAAAAGUAAAGCUGGUGUGAGAGCUGUGCUUUGAAUCUGUGAUGUCCUAUAUUAUGUCAAAUACUUUGAAAAAAUCAAGCUUUUGGCAACUCAAAUUAGUAUUUAUUUUUCCCCCUUAUUUCCCUCAGUUCAUGGUCUGUAAAAUGGGAGUAAAAAUGCUGUCUGCAAUCUCCUAGCCUGAGAGGAAAAAACAAUUAGUGAAGCGUUCUGAUACAACGAUGAAUGCCUGUAAGGAAAUACGGGAUUCUUGUUUUGAUACUAGAAUUUUAAUAGCAUGUAACAAAUGAAGUCUUGGGUUAUGCCUUGAGUAACAGGGAGAAAACAAAAUGGUAUGUUUCUGUUAACUGAAUUUAGUGCUGCCUGCACUGAAAAAGGUAGAGGUCAUGUGGAAGAGCAGUAUGUGAUCGUGUUAUCAGAGAUUGUAUAUUGAAGUCUGAUAAAUAUAUAUGCAUCUGGAGGCAAAUCAAAGUUGUACAGAUACUUAGACCUAUUCUUUUCCCCAAAUCAGUGUAAGUAAUCCACUAAUAUGUUAAAUAAUUUCUCCUCCAAAGCUACAUGAAUGCUUAUUGAUCAGAAAAACAAUACGAAGAACAUCAUGAGCUAUUUUGUAUGUCCAUUUCUGCUUACUCCCUUCCAUGCUGGUUGCCAUAUUCAUAUCCUAAAUCCUUUACAAUGUUACUCUUGAAGGAACAGUGCAACUAGUUCAUUGUUCAUAUGUCAGUUUGCAUAUGCAGGUGACGCAAUGCCGUACAUUCGAGCAGCAGAAAAAUCUGUUCUGUAACCAGAAAAAGUAGCAAUUAAUGAGAUGGGAAUAGGAGGAGAUACGAACAGCAGGCUUUCCCUAUGACCUUUCCUGUAUGUACUUGGUUUUUAAUACUGCUCUGUAGCUAAGAUAGCCCCUGGUUGUUGUCUUCCUGGUUAAUUCUGCCUCCUGAGUGUUCAGCAGUAUGUCAACAUGCAAUUGAAAGCUCAUUGACUUUGAAAAUGAAUUUAAAGGUGGGGAGACUUGAUUUGAAAAAAUAAGUAACUGAACAGCAAGCUUUUAGAAAUCUCGUUUCCUCAGCAGCUGUGUUGCUCUCCAGGCUGUCUUACAGCUGAAAGAGGGAAAAUAUGAAACAGCAGCGACCGACGUAAACUUUCACCAGAGGCAAGCAUGUGCAAGUGCUGGGAGAUGCUGCAGAGGGAGAACAUGGACAGGAGAUGUUGCCUUCUGGAAGUUUGCUCUGCCGUAUUAUGGCAUAUAUACUUCUGCAUAACCCCUCAAUUCUACCACUUUUAUCUAAUAGCAGUCUGCUCCGGUAUAAACCAACACAUUUUGCAAAUACUUCUGGAUUGUACCAUGCUGUUUAAAAGGAAAUACAGAUGUUAAAGAACAGGGAGGAAAUGAAAAGAGGAAGAGCGUCUGGAGACUGGAGUCUGCGUUGGAGCUCUGUUUGUUGGUUGAUUUAGGACUUCUGGGCCUUUGCAGUCAGAUCUGGCUUUUGUGCUUUUGAGGUGGUGCCCCCAGGUUUUCCCCAGAGUAUCUGCCUUUUCUCUGGGCAUAGUAGAAUACACAGUGCGAGUUUGAGGAUUUGGAGAAAGAUAGUUCAAUUUCUUUGUCACCAACUCCAAUUCUAACAUUCACAGCCAUGCAUUUUAGAUCCCUUUCAGUUCCUGUCAACCUCCUGGUAAUACCGGGGACCAGGGACAGCUGUCUGCAUUUAGAAAAGUUUGGCAAAGGACAAUCAUCCAAAGAAAAGGGCGUCUGGGACUUUGUCUACUAAAAGGUUUUGUGUUUUAGUCAUUUCUUUGAGUUCAGGUAGAAUUGGUAUCAAAACCUGCUCCUUUUAUUGAUUUAAUAGAAAUGUUCGAGAGCAUCUGUAAAACAAACUGUUUUACUACCUGUGGUGAUGAUAAAUAUUUUAUUUUCUGCAGAAGUGAAUUUGUGUUUUAACAAUACUCUUAGUUGUAGCUGUCUGCACGUUUCUGUUUCAUUGUAUAUGUUUAUGGAGUUCACGUAUGCUUUAUCUGUACAACUGAACAGGCUUUGCAGCAAAUUAUUGUCUUUAUUCCACUUCUCUCAGAUGCAGAAAUACAGAGUUCACAGGCAGUUUUAUGUUGGAAAUGAAGUAGCGCAAUGUUGUCAUAAUUUCUUGAUAUUUGGCAUGGAUGUUGUUUCCUUAAUAUUCCAGUAUCCCUGUACUUGCCCUCCCACAAUUUCUUCUUGUACUCAGUGCAAUAUUAGAAUUAACGAACUCCAAGGCUUAAAUACAUAGUAACCCUCUUUUCUAAUCUACGUUUUACUAUUUAAAGAAACAUUUUUAAAUUUUGCACCAUUCCUUUGAUUUUGUUAGCACAUAGUCCUGGAAAUACUAUAUGAGUUAUCUUUUACUAUCAGAGAUGGACUUUUAAGUCUCCUAUUAAGUAAUAUAGGUGUUGUCUUUAUUUAAUGAAGAAAUUUUUUCCUUUCCUUGAGCUUCGGUGCUGUGUAUUGUAUGCUGUCUAGAUCUAGUCAAACUGAAGACCGGUAUAAAAAGAGAGAUGGUGGAGAUCAGCCUUAAGGUCAGUUCUUUGUUGUCUUUGGAAUUUGACACGAAUAGUUUGAAGGAAAAGAUACAAUCAGUUUGAUGGGAAGGUGCACAAAUUUUUUUCCCCAAACUUUUUUCCAGUUUAUAUUUAAAGCGAUCAAAAAGUCUCAUUAGCAUAAACUGUAAAGACAGAAGUUCCUUUUCCUUUUUUGGUGUGGUGAUUUCUUCCAUUUUGCUCUGUUAGAGGGAUAUUUUAUUCUG
Dromaius novaehollandiae (emu) is the source of this 6960-nucleotide long non-coding RNA. RefSeq lists it as uncharacterized. The record is from RefSeq and is a predicted model, not a curated record. Lineage: Eukaryota; Metazoa; Chordata; Aves; Casuariiformes; Dromaiidae. The transcript is spliced from 3 exons.